RNAcentral lists this long non-coding RNA (331 nucleotides) under Cyanistes caeruleus (blue tit). RNAcentral's name for it is "lncRNA (ENSCCEG00000009926.1)". The record is from RNAcentral. Lineage: Eukaryota; Metazoa; Chordata; Aves; Passeriformes; Paridae.
CUUGAAGGCUGGAGUCAUGAAGGGGUCCCUCCAGAGGUGAGUUUCCAACAACAAGCUCACAUUUUCUGCAGAUCUGUUUUCUGUGUAUUUGAUCAAGAAAAGAUCUCAGUGAUGCUAAAGGGUUGAGGUCUUCUUCAAGAGAGGAGCAGAUGACAGCAUAUAGACGUAGCUCGUGAGCAAUACCAACUGGAGGUCAGGAGAUGUUCUUCUGAAGGUGUUCUCUCUGUGUUACUUACAGGGCUGUGAUUACAGCUAUAGCAAAAUUUGAGAUGCCUUGGUUGGUGUGGGUUUCAGCUUGGUAAGAGUUUACUGGAACUGAAUUGGAAUUUCU